Long non-coding RNA from Sus scrofa (pig), 306 nucleotides. RefSeq lists it as uncharacterized. The record is from RefSeq and is a predicted model, not a curated record. NCBI's taxonomy places the organism in Eukaryota, Metazoa, Chordata, Mammalia, Artiodactyla, Suidae.
CGCGAGGCGGAAGCAGCGCCGCGCACCGGGGAGCUCGCGCCAGCCCCGCCCCGGCUUAUUUCCCCAAGUGCGAGCCCUGAAGCUUUCCGCAGGUUAGGUGCUGAAGAACUCUGAAAGGACGAAGGACCACCGGAGAGAUUUGGGGCCGAGGCAGUAACAUGCUGGACCAGCAGGUGGUGCUGCUGAGAAACCCAACUUCGAGACCCAGAAGAAACCCUUGGGUGCCUAACUGGAUGUGGGGGUGAUGAGUUCUUGGCAAAACUGCUUGUUCUUUUUCCAAAAAUAAAUAAAUAAUUUUUUUAAAAA